GAUGAAGAACGCAGCGAAAUGCGAUACUUGGUGUGAAUUGCAGAAUCCCGUGAACCAUCGAGUCUUUGAACGCAAGUUGCGCCCGAAGCCAUCAGGUUGAGGGCACGUCUGCCUGGGCGUCACAUAUCGUUGCCCAAUGCCUAUUGCAGUGCAAUAGGAAUUUCUAGGGCGAAUGAUGGCUUCCCGUGAGCGUUGUUGCCUCGCGGUUGGUCGAAAAUCGAGUCCUUGGUAGGGUGUGCCAUGGUAGAUGGUGGUCGAGUUAGAACGAUACCGAUCAUGUGCAUGCUCCCCAAAAUAUGGCCUCUAUGACCCACACGCGUCUUUUGACGCUCAUGACGAGACCUCAGGUCAGGCGGGGCUACCCGCUGAAUUUAAGCAUAUCAAUAAGCGGAGGA
This 395-nucleotide unclassified non-coding RNA is filed under the name soil metagenome. RNAcentral describes it as "partial contains 5.8S ribosomal RNA, internal transcribed spacer 2, and large subunit ribosomal RNA". The stretch from base 1 to 122 matches the Rfam family "5.8S ribosomal RNA", at positions 35 to 154 of the family's 154-position model. The record is from RNAcentral.